UCGGAUUGCAGGCUGAAACCCGCCUGUAUGAAGUUGGAAUCGCUAGUAAUCGCGGAUCAGCAUGCCGCGGUGAAUACGUUCCCGGGCCUUGUACACACCGCCCGUCACACCAUGAGAGUCGGGAACACCCGAAGUCCGUAGCCUAACCGCAAGGGGGCGCGGCCGAAGGUGGGUUCGAUAAUUGGGGUGAAGUCGUAACAAGGUAGC
Molecule: ribosomal RNA, 207 nt
Filed under: uncultured bacterium
Lineage: Bacteria
Description: partial 16S ribosomal RNA
Rfam family: Bacterial small subunit ribosomal RNA
Source: RNAcentral